UCUUUUCAACGCUUUUACAUUUACUCAUUUAUUUUAUUAAUUCAAUUUCUUAAUAUAUCUUUAUAUAUAUACAUAUUUUUUUUCUUACAACCGAAGUUAUGCACCACAAUGUGAACACUGUAAGCGCAUAUGGAACAAAAUAAUGCAUUUAAAAUAUGAAAUACAAAAUGAUAAUAAAAAGAAAGUAUAUUUUGGUGAAGUAAGUUUAAAAUAAAUAUAACUAAGCAAUAUGAAAGAGUUGUAUAAUUCAACUGUUUAAAAAAAAAAAAAAAAAAAAAAAAAAAAAAACAUACAUAAUACAUAUAUACAUACAUACAUACAUAUAUACAUACAUAUAUACAUACAUACAUACUACAUACAUAUAUACACACACCUAUAAAUAUAUAUAAAUAUAGACGUAUAGAACUAUAUAUAAAAACAGUUACUAUUAGCUAUAUCUACACGUACGUAUAUAUGUGACAUCUUUAUAUAUUAGGUAAAUUGUGCUGAUACAAAUGGACGAAGUAUUUGUGAAGAAUACUCGGUUGUAAAAAUACCACAAUUAAAAAUGUAAGUUAAUAAUUAUGACAAAAUGACACACACAUGUAUAUAAUAUAUAUAUAUAUAUAUAUAUAAUUCAUUACCUACGUACAUAUAAACAAAACACAUUCAUCACAUUUUACUUUUACAGGUUUAAAGGAAACAAAUUAUUAGGAACGUAUUCAAAUGAUAUAAUGAAUGAAAGUCUUAUAAAAAAAUGGAUAUAUUAUGUUACAAUGUAAAUUAGGAAAGAAAAAGAAAAAUUAUUUUAGUUAUUUUUAAUAUUUUUUACAUUACAUAAAAAUAAUUUUUAUGUAAUUAUUUUUUCUGUCCAUAAAAUAGUUUACUAUCGUUUUUUUCUAAAAUUAUACAGUCCUAUAUUUCAUGGAGUGCAUUCAGAAGAAGAAUUAAAUGAAUUUAAAACUGGAGAUAAUUUUUUUCUCACUUGUCUAGAACACCCAAAUGAUGUUUUAAUAAAAGUGGCUAAAUUGUAUUAUGAUGAGUGUUAUUUUAUUAACAUUCAAAAUCAGGAACUGUGUGAUAAGUUAAAUAUUAAAAACAACCAGUUGCAAGUUAAAGGGAAAUAUGAGCAUUCAUUUUAUAACCUUGAUGAACUAGUAUAAACAUAUCUUUUCAAAAAACAUUUUUUUUUUUUUUUUUUUUGAUUUUAAUUGAAUAUUUUACAGGAUUUUGAAAAAGUUAAAUCUUUUGUAAAUAAAAAUAGGUUUCCUAUAGUAAGUGAGGUCA
This 1266-nucleotide long non-coding RNA is filed under the name Piliocolobus tephrosceles (Ugandan red Colobus). RNAcentral describes it as "lncRNA (ENSPTEG00000009385.1)". Lineage: Eukaryota; Metazoa; Chordata; Mammalia; Primates; Cercopithecidae. The record is from RNAcentral.